CCCUCCCUCUUUCUUCAUGCCUAACACAUGCAAGUCGAACGAGACCUUCGGGUCUAGUGGCGCACGGGUGCGUAACGUGUGGGAACCUGCCCUUAGGUUCGGAAUAACUCCCCGAAAGGGGUGCUAAUACCGGAUAAUGUCUUCGGACCAAAGAUUUAUCGCCUUUGGAUGGGCCCGCGUUGGAUUAGCUAGUUGGUAGGGUAAAAGCCUACCAAGGCGACGAUCCAUAGCUGGUCUGAGAGGAUGAUCAGCCACACUGGGACUGAGACACGGCCCAGACUCCUACGGGAGGCAGCAGUGGGGAAUAUUGGACAAUGGGCGAAAGCCUGAUCCAGCAAUGCCGCGUGAGUGAUGAAGGCCUUAGGGUUGUAAAGCUCUUUUACCCGGGAUGAUAAUGACAGUACCGGGAGAAUAAGCGCCGGCUAACUCCGUG
RNAcentral lists this ribosomal RNA (433 nucleotides) under uncultured bacterium. RNAcentral describes it as "partial 16S ribosomal RNA". It matches the Rfam family "Bacterial small subunit ribosomal RNA", at positions 36 to 507 of the family's 1533-position model. The record is from RNAcentral.